Long non-coding RNA from Carassius auratus (goldfish), 1893 nucleotides. Lineage: Eukaryota; Metazoa; Chordata; Actinopteri; Cypriniformes; Cyprinidae. The record is from Ensembl.
AUGGAUAAACAAAUGAUAAAGCUUGACUUAUUGAAUAUCAGAUCCAUUUCUACGAAAACACUUUUUGUAAAUAAUAUGAUAACUGAUCAUAAUAUAGAUGUGCUCUGCUUGACAGAAACCUGGCUAAAACCUGAUGAUUACAUUAUUUUAAAUGAGUCCACCCCCCAAGAUUAUUGUUAUAAACACGAGCCGCGUCUAAAAGGCAAAGGGGGAGGUGUUGCUUCAAUUUAUAAUAAAGUUUUCAGGAUUUCUCAGAGGGCAGGCUUCAAGUAUAACUCGUUUGAAGUAAUGGUGCUUCAUAUAACAUUAUCCAGAGAAACCAAUGUUAAUGAUAAAUCCCCUGUUAUGUUUGUACUGGCUACUGUACACAGGCCACCAGGGCACCAUACAGACUUUAUUAAAGAGUUUGGUGAUUUUACAUCCGAGUUAGUUCUGGCUGCAGAUAAAGUCUUAAUAGUUGGUGAUUUUAAUAUCCAUGUCGAUAAUGAAAAAGAUGUAUUGGGAUCAGCAUUUAUAGACAUUCUGAACUCUAUUGGUGUUAGACAACAUGUUUCAGGACCUACUCAUUGUCGAAAUCAUACUCUAGAUUUAAUACUGUCACAUGGAAUUGAUGUUGAUAGUGUUGAAAUUAUUCAGCCAAGUGAUGAUAUCUCAGAUCAUUAUUUAGUUCUGUGUAAACUUCAUAUAGCCAAAAUUGUAAAUUCUACUUCUUGUUACAAGUAUCGAAGAACCAUCACUUCUACCACAAAAGACAGCUUUUUAAGUUAUCUUCCUGAUGUAUCCGAAUUCCUUAGCAUAUCCAAAACCUCAGAACAACUUGAUGAUGUAACAGAAAUUAUGGACUCUCUCUUUUCUAGCACUUUAAAUACAGUUGCUCCUUUACGCUUAAGAAAGGUUAAGGAAAACAGUUUGACACCAUGGUAUAAUGAGCAUACUCGCACCCUAAAGAGAGCAGCCCGAAAAAUGGAGCGCAGCUGGAGGAAAACAAAACUAGAGGUAUUUCGUAUUGCUUGGCGGGAAAGUAACAUAUCCUACAGAAAAGCAUUAAAAACUGCUAGAUCUAAUUACUUUUCUUCUCUUUUAGAAGAAAACAAACAUAACCCCAGGUAUUUAUUCAAUACAGUGGCUAAAUUAACGAAAAAUAAAGCCUCAACAAGUGUUGACAUUUCCCAACACCACAGCAGUAAUGACUUUAUGAACUACUUUACUUCUAAAAUCGAUACUAUUAGAGAUAAAAUUGCAACCAUUCAGCCGUCAGCUACAGUUUCGCAUCAGACAGUGCACUAUAGACCCCCUGAGGAACAGUUCCACUCAUUCUCUACUAUAGGAGAGGAAGAAUUGUAUAAACUUGUUAAAUCAUCUAAACUUACAACAUGUAUGUUAGACCCUAUACCAUCUAAGCUCUUAAAAGAGGUGCUUCCAGAAGUCAUAGGUCCUCUUCUGACUAUUAUUAAUUCCUCAUUGUUAUUAGGACAUGUCCCCAAAACCUUCAAACUGGCUGUUAUUAAGCCUCUCAUAAAAAAGCCACAACUUGACCCCAGAGAACUAGUUAAUUAUAGACCAAUCUCGAAUCUCCCUUUUCUGUCCAAGAUACUAGAAAAGGUGGUAUCCUCACAAUUAUAUUCCUUCUUAGAGAAAAAUGGUAUAUGUGAGGAUUUCCAGUCAGGAUUUAGACCGUAUCAUAGUACUGAGACUGCUCUCCUUAGAGUUACAAAUGAUCUUCUCUUAUCAUCUGAUCGUGGGUGUAUCUCUCUAUUAGUUUUAUUGGAUCUUAGUGCUGCGUUUGACACAAUUGACCACAACAUUCUUUUGCAUAGACUUGAACACUUUGUUGGCAUUAAUGGAAGUGCAUUAGCAUGGUUUAAAUCGUAUAUGACCGCCAUCAGUUCGUAG